GGCUUCCUGUGUGUGGUUCCCAAUUCCAUCUUCCUGACUUUUCACUCACUGGCUGGAAGCCCCUUCCCGAGAGCCAUGACAGGAAGAACACUGGCCCCCCAGGCCCCAGACUGGAGCCUAACGGUCACGGAAUUGCGCAGAUGAAUCUUUAAAAAAAAAGAUGAACUAUUUCAAGCAUCAGAAAAAUGGAGAGCCAUACAGCAGACACCUGUGACACCGCCUACGCUAGCAAAGCAUGACACGGCAAAGUGCACACAUCCUACAUGAUCACGUGAUGAGCCUCUGUACAGGGACUUAGCAGGGUGGCCUCCAUCAAUCCUGGGCAAGCCUGUGGCCUUGGGAAGGUCAUGGUCUCCAUUCCGUGGGUAAGGAAAUGAAAGAGCAGAGAGGUUAAAUGCUUUUUCCAAGGUUCCCAGCUAGGAAGAGCCAUAACAGAGGAGGCACAGCCAGACCUCAGGGAAUAGCUCUGAGAGGUCCAGGCCGAGGCUGGGCAGGGGAGGGGAGCAUCUACACAGGAAAGGAAAAUUUCAGAAGAAAUACCAGUCCUUUGAACAUCUUAGGCUUUUACAAAAGAAGAAAAAAAAAGCAAACAAAAACAAGAAACCCACAUCUCUGCAUUGUUCUCAUUUGUCUCAUUUUGCUUCCAACGGCCCCAGCCCCCAGCCUGGUGUCGGGGGACCCCGAUUGGGGGAUGGUCAAAGCUCCUCUCCAGGACUGCCAGGUCCCGGGGCUGAGGCCCGAGUUUCCAGAUUUAGCAAGUAAAAGUACAGGAUGCCCAGUUACAUGCUAACUUCAGAUAAACAAUAAUUUUUUUCAAGUAUGCCUUUAUGUCUUAAAAACUACGUGGGACGUAGUCAUCCUACAGAAAUAUUUGCUGCUCACCUGGAAGUUCAAAUCUCACGGGGCGUUCUGUGUUCGGUCCUGCAACUUGACCAAGGGACACCCGCAGAGCACAGGGCUGAGCGGAGUGUGCCCAGAGCGCCGGAGGGUGCCUGCCCCCACCCCCUGCCCUGGCUCUGUGACCCGAGGCACCUGCACCGCAGCCCCUGGCAGGCCUUGUAUUUACUUAUGCUUUUAAUGAGAGCAAAUUAAGAUUCACUUACUCUGGAGAACUGUGACAUGAUGGCUCUUAUGAGAAGUGGAGACACCUGGCUUUUCUCGGCCUGGCGUGUCCUGCGUGGGGCUCCGCGGUCCCAUGUUUAUGGCACCGGGGGAGGGAAGGCCGCUCCUGCCCUCACUCACUCACCGUCCACCUGGGGAUGAGGGGAGCCCACUGUCCCACCACAGCCCCACCACAGCCCGGGGCACACGUUGUUCUUGCCAUGGGACGGGGGAGGAAGCAGAAGCACAGACUUCGCUCCUGCAGGGGCCCAUCCCGGUGAUAUGUGGAGCUCUGGGAUGUCCACCCGGGCCCUGGGGUUUCCCUGCAGCAGGUCGGUGGCUUGAGCCCAGGGAGCACUUGGGAAAGCUCCACCGCCAGACCUCCUGAUCCAACGGGCCUGGCCCGGGGCCUGGUGGGGAGCUCUGAAAGCUCGCUGGGCGAUGCCAGGGGACAGAGACGAAUCUGGCAUCUCCCCGCGGUUCCUCCCGCCCCGUGGAGAAGGAGGAGGGGGAACUCCGGGGUGCUGAGGCCCGAGGGCAUGCUGGGGGCACGGGGGGGCAUGAGCAGAGGCACAGAAGUGGGCUGUGCUCCUGGGCCAGUAGAGGGCUGAGCUCCAAAGGCGGGCUUGCCUCUGGCUUUCCUACCCACCUUGCUAGGGAUUCCUGUUACUUCCACCCCCCAGCCCCAGCCAAAAGCAUGGGUGCGGUGUCAGUGAGGGUGCCAGUCUCUUUCCCGCCUUGCCACGGGGCCUGGCGAUUUUCCCAUGGGAAAGCUCAUUCUGGCUCCUCCUCCUGGAGGGCAGUGGCGGGGAGAGGGGGAGCAGGCAAGAGGAAGUGACAAGGGCAAAGGAGAGCAGGCCCAGGUCAACGAGCCUUCAUGCGCAGCUGACAUUGGAGUCUGGCAGACUCCCCUGGCUGAUGGGUGGCCCUCCCCGCCCCCACUGACCAAUGGCCCUUCCAUGAGCAUCCUUUCCCAGAGCAUGUCCCGGGGAACCCGCAAGGCACUCGUAACAAAAGAGUCCUGGCGUCCUAAGUUUGGGAAACCCUACGUACUGUAACUCUGGUCAGAGCCUCACAACAUCCACGAGGACAUUAAAGGUUCUGAGAAGUCCUACAGCAAAAUGCUGCCCCAUUAGUUUUCUUUGAUGUAAGUGUGGAUGCCUAGUGACCUCAGAGCCUUCUCCAUAUAACGAGGAGCCCCGCGAGCGUCGUGGAACGCGUCCUGUGGACGGACAGUGGCUGCUCCCCGGCGUCCUGAGAAUGGGUCCCAAGAGAGGUGCGGGAAGUGGAGGCGUCAUUUGGAUCCGUGGUGCCAGGUCAGUCUGCCAGAAGGGCCCCCCCCCCUUCCUCGGGCUGCCAGUGAGGAGGGAGGCGCCUUCCCUGAGGAGUGGCUGGGCCCGGGUCCAGGACGGAUCUGCCUCGCAGAGCCUCAGUUGCUAUUUGCCGCCCGACUUGGAGGAGUGUCGGAUUCAGACUCAGGAUCUGCGGGCCCAGCGCUGGCUUUUGCGGCCUUGGGAGAAGCUUUGCUUCGUGGGGAGGGAAAUCCAGCGUGGGGGCCCUGGGUGACCUCGCACUCUGUGUCCUAUGUUCUGCAGAAUGGGCUCUCGAGAAAACCUCCCUGGAAAUGAAGGUUAAAGUUGCUUUGAAAGUUGGCCGUCCAGACUGCCUCGAGGUAGAAAAAACCUUGCUUGAGGUCCUGAUAAUGAUGAGUUUGAGUGUAAAAGAUCUGAAAGUCAGGCAAAGCUGGGAAAGUGUACCAACGACGACCUCAAAGACAGGUGUCUCUGGACACAGCUAAGGAUACCCAUUGACAUAAGCCUGUCCAUAUGUGCGCCCGCCGGUAUGGAUGGCUGUUUUCUCAGAUGAGAGCAAAGUACCUUUAUCAUGGAAAACACAGAAAAAUACAAGGAAGAAACCAAGUCACCCAUAAUCCCACGUUGGGUGGGCACUGCUGUUAGCCUCCAGUGCAGCAUUUCCUAUAUUUUAAUGUUUUCUCCUACUAUACACAUCACGUUUCUGUUUUCUAGACAAGAUGUCUGUGUAGCUACAGCCACUGAAGCCUUCUUUUUGUUUUUUAGUAAAGUCUGUGCCCGACUUAGGGCUCGACCUCAUGACCCCGAGAUCGAGCGUCGCAUGCUCCCCUCCAACGACUGAGCCCAGCCCGCAGCCAUCAUUUCUUAAAAAUAACUUAUUGAGAUGAAAAUCACAUAAAAUAAAAUAACCACAUAAGGCGAGCAAGUCGGUGGCGUUGGACGCUUUCACGGUGUGCGACCAGCACCCUAUCUAGUUUCAAAACUUUUCUGGAGUCUUACCGAAGCUGUGUGUACUCCUCCACCAAAGAAGGGGCUGUGACUUCUCGAACACUAAAGCCGUUACCGAAUACUGGCUUUAAUUCCCUGUACUGCCAGCAGCUGCUGAGAAGGUCCAGCCUGCACCUGUUGUCCAUGUGUCUGUCUGUUCCCCUCCCACCGUCCAGCGGACUCUGGGAGGGAUCUUGACAGCCGAGACCUACCUCUGAGGCCCAGACACAGACACCACUGCCCAGCUGACGGCUCCCCUUGGAUGCUUAAAGGCCUCCCCAACACGACGUGCCUGAAGCCUAGCCUGUCCUCCGUCUCUCUUUCCUCUCUCUCAGCCGUCCUGAUUUAGCCCAUCCCCAGGCCCAGGUGACUUUACCUCCGGGGCUCCUUUCUGAUACGCUGCAAUUUCUCCCUUUGAAUCUUGCCAUCCUCUUCCCCUGCCCCCAUCAUCGUCCUCGCCUGGGACACUGCCUUAGGCUCCCCCUGGACUCUGGCCCCCCUCCUGUCACUUGCAGUCCAUCUACAGCUGCUGUUUCAGAGUGCCGGUCUGCUCACGCCAGCCCUACUCCUCCAUUCUUGGAACUGUCCCAUGACCUCCCAUUCUUUUUCAGGAUAAAGGUCCAAGUUGUUAAUGUGUCUGUAAGGCCUGCUUCCUCCACCAUUUUUCCAGCUUCUCUGGGCUCAAGCCUCCCGUGUCCUCCUCUACCACAGGACCUUUGUACAGGCUGUUCUCUGCCUGUCCUCUCCUUACCCUCCAUUGCUCCUGGUUAAUCCUUGCUCAUCUUUCUGAUCUCAGCCCAGUCUCCCCUCCUACAAGAAGCCCUCCCUGACCCCAGACCACAUGUGAAGCUUUCAGUGUCUACUCUGAUUGCAUCAUCUGUGUUGGUUUGGUUAAUGUCUGUUUUCCCGACCCAGCUCCAAGCAUUAGAGGGAAGGAGCCAUAAUGAGUAAUCAAGAACUAUACAUUGAAUCAGUCAACGAAAAAACAAUGUAGUUAAGAGGACAAAGCUCCUGACCCGUAUUUGCCACAGUGCUUUCCGGACAGGUGCGAGCAGGGGGCACUCCCCCAUUGCAUAUGCUAGUGUCAGAAUAGCCACACCUUGACCGUAAAUUCUGCCCGUGCGGCAGAGCCUCAGUCAUCUGAUGAGUUCAAGCUCAGGGAUGGCACGAGUAGGAGAACAGUCAGCAGCAGACAUGCUGAGCUGAGCUGAAGAAGCCGAGAUAGCCACCCACCUGGCGUGACCGGGAUCCACUCAGGACAGAGGACAAGGGUGAUACCCCUGGAUGGCUUAUUGGAACCGAGGCUGGCCCCUCGGGCCUGGAAACCUGGGUGGGAUGUCCAGGAAAAGGACUGGCGAGACGUUGACAGAAGGCAGAGAAGAAAAGGAGAGCAGGGGCGGUGGGUUUGGAAGCAGAGGCGGCUGGCAUUGGGCGGUGGCUGGAGCUGGAGGUCUGAGGCCCGCAGAUGACGCGGGAGGUGCUGCGAGGGGAGCACGUGGAGGCUCACCCCGCUGGGACCCGGGCUGGGAAGACCCAGAGACCAGGUCUGCUGACCAGAUCUCUCCUUGAGGCCUUCUUGGGGCAGGCUGCCUCUGUGAUGGUCCCCAAGACGUCUGCCUCCCUCCUGGUAUUCCGGACGGCCACCUCCGUGAUCAGAACACGAGAUCACCGUUUCCGUCUUCCCCACAGACCGUCUUCCGCUGAUGGACUAGUUGCCGUGUCGGGGAGUCCCAAGUGUCAAGGUGCCACCAGCUGGUGCCAAACUGAGACCUUCCAAGAGCCUCCAAGGCUCAGUUCUGGCCACCAUCCCGUGAACUUGGAGGGGGAUCCUUCCCUAGUGGAAUCUUUAGAGGAGAUCCCCCGAACCAGCCCCUUGACAGCCAUCUGUGAGACCCUCUGGAGCCCAGAGCCCAGCUGAGCCACGCACCCAGUCCUGACGCACAGAAUCCACGGGAUGUUAAACGUGUCAUUUUGAGCCACUAAGUUUGGGACGAUUUGUUUGCACGGGCAGUUGACCAGUUCCCUCCCGUGUGCCUUGGUUUCUGCAUCUCACAGAAGUCUGGAGUGGCUCAAGUUCAAGGGUUACAAUUAAACAACAAGCCCUCCCACGUUCAGACGGAAGGGACGCAGGGAGGAACGCCAAGGUCACAGUGUGCAAUGGGGAUGGAGACCGUACUGUGGCCGGUUUUUGGGAGGUAAUCUCGGACACAGCCUGACCUUGGGCCACAGCAGCUCGCGUGCUCCCACGUGCCAAGUACGCUCGCCCACGCCCAAGACGUCUCCCGGACGUCUGCUCCACGUGCUGUGGACCAGAUUCCAGGUGCAGGAUUCAGUCCAGUCGCUCAGGCCACCUGGUGCCGAUGGGACUGGGAGUGGGGAGGGCUCCUCCAGGGCUCUCCUGACCUGAGGCUGUUCUCAGAGUCACGCUUCCUCCUUCAUAAGAAAGCAGAGUUUGCAACUGAAUAGCUUCCCCCCCACUUCUUCCUCUAAAAGUCUGAGAGU
Lutra lutra (Eurasian river otter) is the source of this 5903-nucleotide long non-coding RNA. RefSeq lists it as uncharacterized. NCBI's taxonomy places the organism in Eukaryota, Metazoa, Chordata, Mammalia, Carnivora, Mustelidae. The record is from RefSeq and is a predicted model, not a curated record. The transcript has 3 exons.